ACGGUACCUGGAGAAGAAGCACCGGCUAACUACGUGCCAGCAGCCGCGGUAAUACGUAGGGUGCGAGCGUUAAUCGGAAUUACUGGGCGUAAAGCGUGCGCAGGCGGUUUGGUAAGUCAGAUGUGAAAUCCCCGGGCUCAACCUGGGAACUGCAUUUGAGACUGCCAAGCUGGAGUUUGGCAGAGGGGGGUGGAAUUCCACGUGUAGCAGUGAAAUGCGUAGAGAUGUGGAGGAACACCGAUGGCGAAGGCAGCCCCCUGGGCCAAUACUGACGCUCAUGCACGAAAGCGUGGGGAGCAAACAGGAUUAGAUACCCUGGUAGUCCACGCCCUAAACGAUGUCAACUAGGUGUUGGGAGGGUUAAACCUUUUAGUGCCGUAGCUAACGCGUGAAGUUGACCGCCUGGGGAGUACGGCCGCAAGGCUAAAACUCAAAGGAAUUGACGGGGACCCGCACAAGCGGUGGAUGAUGUGGAUUAAUUCGAUGCAACGCGAAAAACCUUACCUACCCUUGACAUGUCAGGAAUCCCGGAGAGAUUUGGGAGUGCUCGAAAG
Molecule: ribosomal RNA, 554 nt
Filed under: uncultured bacterium
Lineage: Bacteria
Description: bacterial SSU rRNA
Rfam family: Bacterial small subunit ribosomal RNA
Source: RNAcentral